UACGUAGGUGGCAAGCGUUGUCCGGAAUUAUUGGGCGUAAAGCGCGCGCAGGCGGCCUCUUAAGUCUGAUGUGAAAGCCCCCCGGCUCAACUGGGGAGGGCCAUUGGAAACUGGGAGGCUUGAGUAUAGGAGAGAAGAGUGGAAUUCCACGUGUAGCGGUGAAAUGCGUAGAGAUGUGGAGGAACACCAGUGGCGAAGGCGACUCUUUGGCCUAUAACUGACGCUGAGGCGCGAAAGCGUGGGGAGCAAACAGG
Molecule: ribosomal RNA, 254 nt
Filed under: uncultured bacterium
Lineage: Bacteria
Description: partial 16S ribosomal RNA
Rfam family: Bacterial small subunit ribosomal RNA
Source: RNAcentral